This 468-nucleotide ribosomal RNA is filed under the name uncultured bacterium. Its description in RNAcentral is "partial 16S ribosomal RNA". It matches the Rfam family "Bacterial small subunit ribosomal RNA", at positions 28 to 507 of the family's 1533-position model. The record is from RNAcentral.
GACGAACGCUGGCGGCGUGCUUAACACAUGCAAGUCGAACGGAAAGGCCCUGCUUUUGUGGGGUGCUCGAGUGGCGAACGGGUGAGUAACACGUGAGUAACCUGCCCUUGACUUUGGGAUAACUUCAGGAAACUGGGGCUAAUACCGGAUAGGAGCUCCUGCUGCAUGGUGGGGGUUGGAAAGUUUCGGCGGUUGGGGAUGGACUCGCGGCUUAUCAGCUUGUUGGUGGGGUAGUGGCUUACCAAGGGUGUGACGGGUAGCCGGCCUGAGAGGGUGACCGGCCACAUUGGGACUGAGAUACGGCCCAGACUCCUACGGGAGGCAGCAGUGGGGAAUAUUGCACAGUGGGCGGAAGCCUGAUGCAGCAACGCCGCGUGCGGGAUGACGGCCUUCGGGUUGUAAACCGCUUUCGCCUGUGACGAAGCGUGAGUGACGGUAAUGGGUAAAGAAGCACCGGCUAACUACGUG